Papilio xuthus (Asian swallowtail) is the source of this 416-nucleotide long non-coding RNA. RefSeq lists it as uncharacterized. The transcript has 3 exons. The record is from RefSeq and is a predicted model, not a curated record. Lineage: Eukaryota; Metazoa; Arthropoda; Insecta; Lepidoptera; Papilionidae.
AGAAUCCCGCGCGACCCGUCAAUGUGUACCAGACAUAUCCAGCUACUCAAAUUGCAACAAACAUAAUCUAUGUCUGGGAUGCACGCGGUGCUCGUGCUCUCCGGCAGGCAACUGGGAAUGCAGGAGAUGGCAGCAGUGCCGGCAGCAGCCUCCCCUGGAUGUAGACCACCAUCUGCUAGUCGAACUCAUGGAGUAUAUUGACGAUUCCCCAAGGAGCAUCAGAACCAAAACAAAACGUUCGAUUCAGACAAAGGUGUCGCCGAAAGGAACUGAGAAAGAAGAAAACUUUACAUCACAAGAAAUAUCCUCAUUAAUAAAUGUAUUUAACAACACGUUUGAUAUUAAACAAUCUGGUCAAAAUAAUGAUUUAAACACAGUUGACAUUGAAAGGGAUGCAGUCACCGAAAAUUUUGAAU